AUUGAACGCUGGCGGCAGGCCUAACACAUGCAAGUCGAACGGGUGGCGGACGGGUGAGUAAUGUCUGGGAAACUGCCUGAUGGAGGGGGAUAACUACUGGAAACGGUAGCUAAUAACGCAUACCAGAAGAUGUGCCCAGAUGGGAUUAGCUAGUGGGUGGGGUAACGGCGCACCAAGGCGACGAUCCGUAGCUGGUCUGAGAGGAUGACCAGCCACACUGGAACUGAGACACGGUCCAGACUCCUACGGGAGGCAGCAGUGGGGAAUAUUGCACAAUGGGCGCAAGCCUGAUGCAGCCAUGCCGCGUGUAUGAAGAAGGCCUUCGGGUUGUAAAGUACUUUCAGCGGGGAGGCGUUACCAGCAGAAGAAGCACCGGCUAACUCCGUGCCAGCCGCCGCGGUAAUUC
This 406-nucleotide ribosomal RNA is filed under the name uncultured bacterium. RNAcentral describes it as "partial 16S ribosomal RNA". It matches the Rfam family "Bacterial small subunit ribosomal RNA", at positions 30 to 526 of the family's 1533-position model. The record is from RNAcentral.